UUGCUGACCUCUUCACCAAAGCUCUCGGUUCCCAUCAAUUCUCGUUUCUUGUUGACAAGUUGGGCAUCUGUAACCUCCAUGCUCCAACUUGAGGGGGCAUAUUAGCAAGUCAACUGUCAAUCUUUAUUUUUCAUAUUUAACAUCCUUGGUUUACUGCUUGAUUUGUAUUGAUUUAUAUCCUAUUUUAGUUUCCUUGAUUUAAGAUAGUUUCCUUGAUUUAAGAGCUAAUUGAAGCUUCUUCUUGUAUAUAAAAAUAUCAUUC
RNAcentral lists this long non-coding RNA (262 nucleotides) under Populus tremula. RNAcentral describes it as "long non-coding RNA (PTRE_LNC000692)". Lineage: Eukaryota; Viridiplantae; Streptophyta; Magnoliopsida; Malpighiales; Salicaceae. The record is from RNAcentral.